GGACAACCUUUCCUUCUAUCAUCUCAUAUUUGUACAUGGACUCUCUCUUCAAUCCACCAUAACUUCUAACCUUCCCCCCACUGCAAUAUCAAACUCAUUUCACUUCUUGUCCAAUCUAGUCUCAGCCUACCUAAUUUAGAGCACUCACAAUCUCUUUUUAUUUUUUUCAUUUUUAAGUUUGGAAUUGGUUGAAAUGAUGCUGCUGGAAUCUUCUCUACAUCCGGCAAAGAUGGCCAUGUCUAAUAUUCUUGGUAUGUUUUUAUUCAUGGAAAUGUUAGCGAGUGGUUUUAGAUUUGGAGUAGAUGGGCUGAGCAUGGACUAUUACUUCAUGAGUUGCCCAUUUGCGGAGCAAAUUGUGAAGAACACAGUUACACGUGCUUUGCAAGCUGAUCCUACCCUAGCAGCUGGCCUUGUUAGAAUGCAUUUCCACGACUGCUUCAUAGAAGGAUGCGAUGGGUCUAUCCUUAUUGAUUCAACGAAGGAUAACACAGCAGAGAAGGAUUCCCCUGCAAAUCUGAGCUUGCGAGGCUAUGAAGUAAUUGAUGAUGCAAAGGAGGAACUUGAAAAUCAAUGCCCAGGCAUAGUUUCAUGUGCUGAUAUCCUUGCAAUGGCUGCUAGAGAUGCAGUUUUCUGGACAGGGGGUCCAGUAUAUGACAUACCAAAAGGAAGAAAAGAUGGAAGGAGGUCUAAAAUAGAAGAUACAAUCAACUUGCCAUUUCCCACCUUCAAUGCCUCGGAGCUCAUUAGGCAGUUUGGGCAGCACGGUUUCAGUGCCCAAGAAAUGGUUGCUUUGUCUGGAGCACAUACUCUAGGGGUGGCAAGGUGCGCAUCCUUCAAAAAUAGACUGAACGGUGGUGAUCCUAGUGUGGAUUCAGAGUUCGCAAAGACAAUGUCAAAAACAUGCAGCGGUGGAGACAACGCAGAGCAACCCUUUGACCCCACCAGAAACACAUUCGAUAAUUUUUAUUAUAACGCGCUCCAAAGGAAAUCUGGACUUCUUUUCUCAGACCAAACCCUGUUCACUAGUCCCAGGACUAGAGCUAUUGUGAACGGCUAUGCAUUUAAUCAAGCCAUGUUCUUCUUUGAUUUCCAGCAGGCAAUGCUCAAAAUGAGCAUGCUUGAUGUUAAGGAAGGAUCCAAAGGAGAAGUUCGAGAAAGUUGCCGCAAAAUUAACUGAAAAAUUUUACAAUAUGUGCAAUGACUAAAACUUCUUGUAUCCCACCGUUUAAUCUGUUGAUUAUUGUAUCAUUGGAUGCAUAUAUAUAUAUAUAUAUAUGAUGCAGGUGCAUUCUGGCACCUAGCUUAAAUACUUCGAGCUCUUGUCUAGCUCAGAAAAAGAUGGCUUUAAAAUGGUUUCUAAAUUCUGCAUUUACUCAAGUUUUUGGU
RNAcentral lists this unclassified non-coding RNA (1386 nucleotides) under Hevea brasiliensis (rubber tree). Lineage: Eukaryota; Viridiplantae; Streptophyta; Magnoliopsida; Malpighiales; Euphorbiaceae. The record is from RNAcentral.